AUGGCGUCGCCUCUGACGGAGAUCCCGGACCACCUCCUGGCGGAGAUCUUCCUCUGGCUUCCCAUCCCGGAAGACCUCGUCUGUGCCUCGGCCGCCUGCGUCUCCUUCCGCCGACUCACCACCGAUGGCUCCUUCCUCCGCAGAUUCUGCCGCCUCCACGCACCAUCAGUCCUCGGAUUCCUCCAGGCAGGCGGCAUGUUCCGUCCCACCAUGCCGCCUCACCCCUCCGCGCCGGCCGCCCGCGUGCUCGCCCGCGCCGCUGACUUCUACUUCUCUUUCAUCCCCUCCCGUUGCCAAUGGACCGUGCAGGACAUCCGCGACGGCCGCGUCCUCCGC
Molecule: ribosomal RNA, 336 nt
Filed under: Triticum aestivum (bread wheat)
Lineage: Eukaryota; Viridiplantae; Streptophyta; Magnoliopsida; Poales; Poaceae
Description: partial small subunit ribosomal RNA
Source: RNAcentral